UGGGGGAUAUUGCACAAUGGGCGAAAGCCUGAUGCAGCGACGCCGCGUGGGGGAUGAAGGCCUUCGGGUUGUAAACUUCUUUUGCUCUGAACAAGGCGCACCAUGGGGUGUGUUGAGUGUAGGGGUUGAUUAGCGCCGGCUAACUACGUGCCAGCAGCCGCGGUAAUACGUAGGGCGCGAGCGUUGUCCGGAAUUAUUGGGCGUAAAGGGCUUGUAGGUGGCUGGUUGCGUCUGUCGUGAAAGCUCAUGGCUUAACUGUGGGUUUGCGGUGGGUACGGGCUGGCUUGAGUGCAGUAGGGGAGGGUGGAAUUCCUGGUGUGGCGGUGGAAUGCGCAGAUAUAAGGAGGAAUACCGGUGGCGAAGGCGGGUCUCUGGGCUGUUACUGACACUGAGGAGCGAAAGCAUGGGGAGCGAACAGG
Molecule: ribosomal RNA, 419 nt
Filed under: bacterium
Lineage: Bacteria
Description: partial 16S ribosomal RNA
Rfam family: Bacterial small subunit ribosomal RNA
Source: RNAcentral